This 936-nucleotide small RNA is filed under the name Pan troglodytes (chimpanzee). RNAcentral's name for it is "retained intron". The record is from RNAcentral. Lineage: Eukaryota; Metazoa; Chordata; Mammalia; Primates; Hominidae.
CAUAGCCCAGGUGUGCCCUGUGGCCUAGGGCUUUCUUGGUCACAGCCACCAGACCGUGGGUCUCAUCCCCACAGCAGCACCAGGACAGGGACUGAGCCACCCACACACUGAGCACAGCCCCACCCGUUUUCCCAGUGCAACGGGAAACCUCACCAACCCUGAAAACUGAAAUCCCUGAUCCUUGUGCUGGAGCUGAAUACGCCCCUUGUCUCCUGGGUCCACUGCCACCAAGGCCUCCAGGCCCUCAUGGCAAAGGGAUGCCCAGCAUAGGCCCAGCCACACCCCUGCAGGGCACAGAGCCUCCACUGCCUUCCAGGCCGUCCUCGAAUGCGCUGCCCCCCUCCAGCCUGUGCAGGCGUACACGGGGGUGCAGCCUGGGGGGUACAGUCAAGGGGAGCCCUUCUCCCACAGGAGGGCAUUGGGGUGUGGGGCCUGGGGCACUGGUUCAGCUACCCCCUUAUCCCGGGCCAGGAAUGAGCUCAGUGACCACUUGGAUGCUAUGGACUCCAACCUGGAUAACCUGCAGACCAUGCUGAGCAGCCACGGCUUCAGCGUGGACACCAGUGCCCUGCUGGACCUGUUCAGCCCCUCGGUGACCGUGCCCGACAUGAGCCUGCCUGACCUUGACAGCAGCCUGGCCAGUGUGCGUAGGCGGGCGGGGGGUGAGGGGGAACGAGACCAGCGGGAGUGCUCACAAUACCGUCUCCACCCCACAGAUCCAAGAGCUCCUGUCUCCCCAGGAGCCCCCCAGGCCUCCCGAGGCAGAGAACAGCAGCCCGGAUUCAGGUGAGCCAAGUCCCACCAGCCCCAUCUCUGCCCCCAACCCCCCACCGCCUUGACACCCCCACCCCCGCAGGGAAGCAGCUGGUGCACUACACAGCGCAGCCGCUGUUCCUGCUGGACCCCGGCUCCGUGGACACCGGGAGCAACGACCUG